AGAGUUUGAUCCUGGCUUAGGAUGAACGCUAGCUACAGGCUUAACACAUGCAAGUCGAGGGGCAGCAUGAUCUUAGCUUGCUAAGAUUGAUGGCGACCGGCGCACGGGUGAGUAACGCGUAUCCAACCUUCCCCUUAGUAGGGCAUAGCCCGGCGAAAGUCGGAUUAAUACCCUAUGUUGUAUAUUGAGGACAUCUGAUUUAUACCAAAGAUUCAUCGCUAAGGGAUGGGGAUGCGUCCGAUUAGGUAGUCGGCGGGGCAACGGCCCACCGAGCCGUCGAUCGGUAGGGGUUCUGAGAGGAAGGUCCCCCACACUGGUACUGAGACACGGACCAGACUCCUACGGGAGGCAGCAGUGAGGAAUAUUGGUCAAUGGGCGAGAGCCUGAACCAGCCAAGUAGCGUGCCAGGAAGACGGCCCUAUGGGUUGUAAACUGCUUUUAUCAGGGGAUAAAGUGAGGGACGUGUCCCUUAUUGCAGGUACCUGAUGAAUAAGGACCGGCUAAUUCCGUGCCAGCCGCUGC
This 522-nucleotide ribosomal RNA is filed under the name uncultured bacterium. RNAcentral describes it as "bacterial SSU rRNA". It matches the Rfam family "Bacterial small subunit ribosomal RNA", at positions 8 to 518 of the family's 1533-position model. The record is from RNAcentral.